RNAcentral lists this ribosomal RNA (490 nucleotides) under uncultured bacterium. RNAcentral describes it as "partial 16S ribosomal RNA". It matches the Rfam family "Bacterial small subunit ribosomal RNA", at positions 30 to 507 of the family's 1533-position model. The record is from RNAcentral.
AUUGAACGCUGGCGGCAGGCCUAACACAUGCAAGUCGAACGGUAACAGGAAGAAGCUUGCUUCUUUGCUGACGAGUGGCGGACGGGUGAGUAAUGUCUGGGAAACUGCCUGAUGGAGGGGGAUAACUACUGGAAACGGUAGCUAAUACCGCAUAACGUCGCAAGACCAAAGAGGGGGACCUUCGGGCCUCUUGCCAUCGGAUGUGCCCAGAUGGGAAUAGCUAGUAGGUGGGGUAACGGCUCACCUAGGCGACGAUCCCUAGCUGGUCUGAGAGGAUGACCAGCCACACUGGAACUGAGACACGGUCCAGACUCCUACGGGAGGCAGCAGUGGGGAAUAUUGCACAAUGGGCGCAAGCCUGAUGCAGCCAUGCCGCGUGUAUGAAGAAGGCCUUCGGGUUGUAAAGUACUUUCAGCGGGGAGGAAGGGAGUAAAGUUAAUACCUUUACUCAUUGACGUUACCCGCAGAAGAAGCACCGGCUAACUCCGUG